GUGGUGUAAGGAAGUUAAUAAACGCACACUUCGCCCUUUCACGGCGGUAACACGAGUUCGAAUCUCGUUGGGGACGCCA
This 79-nucleotide transfer RNA is filed under the name Gallionella sp. RNAcentral describes it as "tRNA-Glu". It matches the Rfam family "tRNA". Rfam says of the family: Transfer RNA (tRNA) molecules are approximately 80 nucleotides in length. The record is from RNAcentral. Lineage: Bacteria; Pseudomonadati; Pseudomonadota; Betaproteobacteria; Nitrosomonadales; Gallionellaceae.